This is a small nucleolar RNA of Oncorhynchus tshawytscha (Chinook salmon), 134 nucleotides long. The record is from Ensembl. NCBI's taxonomy places the organism in Eukaryota, Metazoa, Chordata, Actinopteri, Salmoniformes, Salmonidae.
ACUGGCCCUCAUCGAAGCCGAUUUGGCAUACUCUCAGCGGCGUCGGUCAACAAAGGAGCUAAAAGCGUCUUUUACCGAUGACCACUGUUUAGAUCUCUUGUAGCUUAUCAGCGACAGUUUGGGAAAGAAUAUCA